This is a long non-coding RNA of Priapulus caudatus, 897 nucleotides long. RefSeq lists it as uncharacterized. The record is from RefSeq and is a predicted model, not a curated record. Lineage: Eukaryota; Metazoa; Priapulida; Priapulimorpha; Priapulimorphida; Priapulidae. The transcript has 3 exons.
GCAUAGCGACGGUGUACUCUAACACCCUUCACGUCGACCAGGCGACUGCCUCACAGACGUCCAUGCCACUGCUCGGAUGGACAGUGUCGGCCAUCGAUAAAUCCGACAACAUCGACAAAGCCAACGUCUUCAAACUUCAGUGUAAGAAGAAGAUAUACUAUUUCCAGACGGAGAACAAGGAAAAGAUGGACAAGUGGAAGUCCGUGCUAGACAAGGCAACAAAGGCUCACACACCGGACACUACUAGUUGAUGAACUGUCGUUGUUAUGAAUACUGCACUGUUGUUGUCGCAGACCUGACUGGAAACGGGUGUACCGUGUCGUUCCCCAGUGCUCGACUAUUGUAAAUAUUAACGUAUAGCAACCGAACAACCUUUUUUUAAAGAAAUCUUUAAUCGCUUUAGUGUAAUUGAAUAUUUUGGAAGAAAAAAAAUACAAUUACUUCUUUCUUGAACAUAUAUGCUCAUAUUAGAUAGUGUGAGAUGGAUGGAAAAAACUUUAGCUCGUUAUAAUUUUGAAUUAUAAUUAUUUUUCGUCAGCAUUCUAAUCGAUGUAGCUGUGGCAGUGUAAAAUCGCUAGUUAAUUGGUAAUAGGGGGAACGCAAAAUUUAAAUCACGGCUUAUAGUGACGUACGUAGUAUUCGCCAUAAAUCACGAAUAUUUAUAUGAUAAGUGAGAUUAAUCGAGUUAGUAAAGUAUAGCCUUCUUGCAUAUGUGGGCGUGUGUGGAAAUUCUUGCGCCAUGCAAAUACUUUAUUCUUAGCGACGUCCCCAUGAAUGAUGAUGUAGGGAUAAUCUUUUUACGGUUCCGCUCACCUUUAGUGCUGAAUCCCACGUAAACAUUUAUAUGCAAAACCACCAUAUAAUAUAAUAGAAAUUUUAUAUAUAAUCUGAAGUUCA